GACGAACGCUGGCGGCGUGCUUAACACAUGCAAGUCGAACGGAAAGGCCUCUUUCGGGGGGUACUCGAGUGGCGAACGGGUGAGUAACACGUGAGUAACCUGCCCUUGACUUUGGGAUAACUUCAGGAAACUGGGGCUAAUACCGGAUAGGAGCUCCUGCUGCAUGGUGGGGGUUGGAAAGUUUCGGCGGUUGGGGAUGGACUCGCGGCUUAUCAGCUUGUUGGUGGGGUAGUGGCUUACCAAGGCUUUGACGGGUAGCCGGCCUGAGAGGGUGACCGGCCACAUGGGGACUGAGAUAGGGCCAAGAGCCCAAGGGGAGGAAGCGGGGGGAAAUAUUGAACAAGGGGGGGAGGCCUAAGCAAGAACGCCGUGGGCCGGAUGACGGCCUUCGGGUUGUAAACCGCUUUCGCUCAUGACGAAGCUUUGUGUGACGGUAGUGGGUAAAGAAGCACCGGCUAACUACGUG
RNAcentral lists this ribosomal RNA (466 nucleotides) under uncultured bacterium. RNAcentral describes it as "partial 16S ribosomal RNA". It matches the Rfam family "Bacterial small subunit ribosomal RNA", at positions 28 to 507 of the family's 1533-position model. The record is from RNAcentral.